GGAUUGGAAAUGGGGGCACCCUGAUCCAGCAAAUGCCGCGUGUGUGAAGAAGGCCUUCGGGUUGUAAAGCACUUUUAUCGGGAACGAAACGUGUAGGGUGAAUAUCCCUGCAAACUGACGGUACCCGAGGAAUAAGCACCGGCUAACUUCGUGCCAGCAGCCGCGGUAAUACGAAGGGUGCAAGCGUUACUCGGAAUUACUGGGCGUAAAGGGUGCGUAGGUGGUCUUUUAAGUCUGUUGUGAAAUCCCUGGGCUCAACCUGGGAAUGGCAGUGGAUACUGGAAGGCUAGAGUGCGGUAGAGGGUAGUGGAAUUCCCGGUGUAGCAGUGAAAUGCGUAGAGAUCGGGAGGAACACCAGUGGCGAAGGCGGCUACCUGGACCAGCACUGACACUGAGGCAUGAAAGCGUGGGGAGCAAACAGGAUUAGAUACCCUGGUAGUCCACGCCCUAAACGAUGCGAACUGGACGUUGGGAGGAACUUGCCUCUCAGUGUCGAAGCUAACGCGUUAAGUUCGCCGCCUGGGGAGUACGGUCGCAAGACUGAAACUCAAAAAAAUUGACGGA
RNAcentral lists this ribosomal RNA (564 nucleotides) under uncultured bacterium. Its description in RNAcentral is "bacterial SSU rRNA". It matches the Rfam family "Bacterial small subunit ribosomal RNA", at positions 359 to 917 of the family's 1533-position model. The record is from RNAcentral.